UACGUAGGGUGCGAGCGUUAAUCGGAUUUACUGGGCGUAAAGCGUGCGCAGGCGGCCCGUUAAGACAGGUGUGAAAUCCCUGGGCUCAACCUAGGAAUUGCGCUUGUGACUGGCGGGCUCGAGUACGGUAGAGGGGGGUGGAAUUCCUGGUGUAGCAGUGAAAUGCGUAGAGAUCGGGAGGAACACCAGUAGCGAAGGCGGCCAUCUGGGCCUGUACUGACGCUCAUGCACGAAAGCGUGGGGAGCAAACAGG
RNAcentral lists this ribosomal RNA (253 nucleotides) under uncultured microorganism. Its description in RNAcentral is "partial 16S ribosomal RNA". It matches the Rfam family "Bacterial small subunit ribosomal RNA", at positions 524 to 776 of the family's 1533-position model. The record is from RNAcentral.